UCCAGACAGAAGACCAGGACUGGACUUCACUUGUUUCCUAAUCAAGGAAGACAGAAGCUCUGUCUCACAUUUCUCGCUCAGGCAAAACUGCAGAUCACACAUGUGGGAGAUAGGUUGCACUUUGAGCCCAUCCUUGUGUGUUUUUGCAAUGUCACGGAAGUUCAGCCUUAGCUCAGCCGCUGCCAGCAAUCCAUGCACAGGUGGGAAGCAGGAAGCCACAGGGUGACUGAGACCUGGACCCCCUCCCUGCAGCAUGUGUGAGGUUU
Molecule: long non-coding RNA, 266 nt
Organism: Manacus vitellinus (golden-collared manakin)
Lineage: Eukaryota; Metazoa; Chordata; Aves; Passeriformes; Pipridae
Exons: 3
Source: RefSeq, a predicted model, not a curated record